AGUGAACGCUGGCGGUAGGCCUAACACAUGCAAGUCGAACGGCAGCACAGUAAGAGCUUGCUCUUACGGGUGGCGAGUGGCGGACGGGUGAGGAAUACAUCGGAAUCUACUUUUUCGUGGGGGAUAACGUAGGGAAACUUACGCUAAUACCGCAUACGACCUACGGGUGAAAGCAGGGGAUCUUCGGACCUUGCGCGAUUGAAUGAGCCGAUGUCGGAUUAGCUAGUUGGCGGGGUAAAGGCCCACCAAGGCGACGAUCCGUAGCUGGUCUGAGAGGAUGAUCAGCCACACUGGAACUGAGACACGGUCCAGACUCCUACGGGAGGCAGCAGUGGGGAAUAUUGGACAAUGGGCGCAAGCCUGAUCCAGACAUACCGCGUGGGUGAAGAAGGCCUUCGGGUUGUAAAGCCCUUUUGUUUGGAAAGAAAAGCAGCAGGUUAAUACCCCGCUGUUCUGACGGUACCCAAAGAAUAAGCACCGGCUAACUUCGUG
Molecule: ribosomal RNA, 492 nt
Filed under: uncultured bacterium
Lineage: Bacteria
Description: partial 16S ribosomal RNA
Rfam family: Bacterial small subunit ribosomal RNA
Source: RNAcentral